UCCCUCUCCUACGGGAGGCAGCAGUGGGGAAUAUUGCACAAUGGGCGCAAGCCUGAUCCAGCCAUGCCGCGUGGGGGAUGACGGCCUUCGGGUUGUAAACCUCUUUCGACCUUGACGAAGCCUUUCGGGGUGACGGUAGGGGUAGAAGAAGCACCGGCCAACUACGUGCCAGCAGCCGCGGUAAUACGUAGGGUGCGAGCGUUGUCCGGAAUUAUUGGGCGUAAAGAGCUCGUAGGCGGUCUGUCGCGUCGGUCGUGAAAACUUGGGGCUUAACCCUGAGCUUGCGGUCGAUACGGGCAUGACUGGAGUUCGGCAGGGGAGACUGGAAUUCCUGGUGUAGCGGUGAAAUGCGCAGAUAUCAGGAGGAACACCGGUGGCGAAGGCGGGUCUCUGGGCCGAUACUGACGCUGAGGAGCGAAAGCGUGGGGAGCGAACAGGAUUAGAUACCCUGGUAGUCCACGCCGUAAACGGUGGGCGCUAGGUGUGGGGGCCAUUCCACGGUCUCUGUGCCGCAGCUAACGCAUUAAGCGCCCCGCCUGGGA
Molecule: ribosomal RNA, 542 nt
Filed under: uncultured Pseudonocardia sp.
Lineage: Bacteria; Bacillati; Actinomycetota; Actinomycetes; Pseudonocardiales; Pseudonocardiaceae
Description: bacterial SSU rRNA
Rfam family: Bacterial small subunit ribosomal RNA
Source: RNAcentral